GCCGGGAUAGCUCAGUUGGGAGAGCAGCAGACUGAAGCGGUUUGAGCACUCAAGCAUUCUGAAGGUCGGGCGUUCGAUCCGCCCUCCUGGCA
Molecule: non-coding RNA, 92 nt
Organism: Cristinia sonorae
Lineage: Eukaryota; Fungi; Basidiomycota; Agaricomycetes; Agaricales; Stephanosporaceae
Source: the annotation of a GenBank genome assembly